AUGAUUGUUACCGCUCUAGUAAUUGGGAUAUAUUAGAUAGGGAUUGGGUUUGGUAAUCUUCAAUUGAUAAUCGUAUGAUAACCUCUCGUUGUUAAUCAAUCAGAGUACUUAGUCCUCUUUUAUCACAAUCAGUUAAAUCAGAUUAUACAGUUAUGUCUAUGUAAUUGUAAACAAUCCAACACAAACCGAAUUUACUUUGAAUCUGAAAUCCGGAGGAAACAUUGUUCUCUCCCAUUUCUUACAACUUCGUAUUUUCGUAAUCUGCUAGUUAAUGAACUCUCAAACAAACAAGAUUUACUUUUUCUACAAUAGUUGAUCAACACUUGACAUAACGACACUUUCCACAAUCCUCCUCCGGUUCGAUAUCCGACUUAUCAUAUCUACAUAGUUUAGUUGGUUUUUGCAUGUUCUUAACGACAGGCAUCACAAAACGUGUAACAAAAUUCUCUAUAAAGGGCAAAACCUGUCAAAAUUCAAAAAAUACACCGCCUGAAAUAUGGUAUCAAGAUAAAGAACAAAACUUGUAAUUUUUCCUUAGAAAUAUAUAAUUUUUGUUCAUCGAAAACCUUGUUUGUUUUUGCAAAACGUGCAUGUCUUUCCACCCCGAAAAAAUUUAUAAAAAUGUAAAACUGUAAAAAGGUGGGGUUAUGAACUCACCUCGAUAUCCUCGUGCAAAGCUAGAUUAAUAUAUCCAUAAAGUCGUUUCCAAACGCGUAAACUCGCUAGUGUGCAAUCUAUAACAUUCCUAACACGGAAUAUCUUAUAAGCUUCUAAAUAAAUGUGGUAGAUAUACUACGUGUUACCGAGCUCUACCGAAUCGUUAACCGAAUGAUUCGACGGUAAGUUGUUAACUUAAUGGAAACGAUUAAGUUAUACUUGUUAAGUUCCAUUUAAUGUCGGUAAUAAUUACUAAGUUCUGAAAAUACUU
Molecule: long non-coding RNA, 928 nt
Filed under: Helianthus annuus (common sunflower)
Lineage: Eukaryota; Viridiplantae; Streptophyta; Magnoliopsida; Asterales; Asteraceae
Description: sRNA HanXRQr2_Chr04g0161821
Source: RNAcentral